RNAcentral lists this microRNA (21 nucleotides) under Hydra vulgaris (swiftwater hydra). Its description in RNAcentral is "hma-miR-3003b-5p". Lineage: Eukaryota; Metazoa; Cnidaria; Hydrozoa; Anthoathecata; Hydridae. The record is from miRBase by way of RNAcentral.
UUACCAGUGUGCACAUUUAAC